This 615-nucleotide ribosomal RNA is filed under the name uncultured bacterium. Its description in RNAcentral is "bacterial SSU rRNA". It matches the Rfam family "Bacterial small subunit ribosomal RNA", at positions 338 to 946 of the family's 1533-position model. The record is from RNAcentral.
CCUACGCGAGGCAGCAGUGGGGAAUUUUGGACAAUGGGCGAAAGCCUGAUCCAGCAAUGCCGCGUGAGUGAAGAAGGCCUUCGGGUUGUAAAGCUCUUUUGUCAGGGAAGAAACGGUGCGGGCUAAUAUCCUGCACUAAUGACGGUACCUGAAGAAUAAGCACCGGCUAACUACGUGCCAGCAGCCGCGGUAAUACGUAGGGUGCAAGCGUUAAUCGGAAUUACUGGGCGUAAAGCGUGCGCAGGCGGUUUUGUAAGUCUGUCGUGAAAUCCCCGGGCUCAACCUGGGAAUUGCGAUGGAGACUGCAAGGCUAGAAUCUGGCAGAGGGGGGUAGAAUUCCACGUGUAGCAGUGAAAUGCGUAGAGAUGUGGAGGAACACCGAGGGCGAAGGCAGCCCCCUGGGUCAAGAUUGACGCUCAUGCACGAAAGCGUGGGGAGCAAACAGGAUUAGAUACCCUGGUAGUCCACGCCCUAAACGAUGUCUACUAGUUGUCGGGUUUUAAUUAACUUGGUAACGCAGCUAACGCGUGAAGUAGACCGCCUGGGGAGUACGGUCGCAAGAUUAAACUUAAAUGAAUUGAGGCUUGGNGAGNGCGAGACGACGACGAGGAGAGG